Molecule: ribosomal RNA, 301 nt
Filed under: uncultured bacterium
Lineage: Bacteria
Description: partial 16S ribosomal RNA
Rfam family: Bacterial small subunit ribosomal RNA
Source: RNAcentral
CAGCCGCCGCGGGAAUACGAAGGGGGCUAGCGUUGUUCGGAAUUACUGGGCGUAAAGCGCGCGUAGGCGGUUACUCAAGUCAGAGGUGAAAGCCCGGGGCUCAACCCCGGAACUGCCUUUGAAACUAGGUGACUAGAAUCUUGGAGAGGUCAGUGGAAUUCCGAGUGUAGAGGUGAAAUUCGUAGAUAUUCGGAAGAACACCAGUGGCGAAGGCGACUGACUGGACAAGUAUUGACGCUGAGGUGCGAAAGCGUGGGGAGCAAACAGGAUUAGAUACCCGAGUAGUCCCUGUCUCUUAAAC